Molecule: ribosomal RNA, 303 nt
Filed under: uncultured bacterium
Lineage: Bacteria
Description: partial 16S ribosomal RNA
Rfam family: Bacterial small subunit ribosomal RNA
Source: RNAcentral
AGCAGUAGCCGCGGUAAUACGGAGGGUGCAAGCGUUAAUCGGAAUUACUGGGCGUAAAGCGCACGCAGGCGGUUUGUUAAGUCAGAUGUGAAAUCCCCGAGCUUAACUUGGGAACUGCAUUUGAAACUGGCAAGCUAGAGUACGGUAGAGGGGGAUGGAAUUCCGCGUGUAGCAGUGAAAUGCGUAGAUAUGCGGAGGAACACCGAUGGCGAAGGCAAUCCCCUGGACCUGUACUGACGCUCAUGCACGAAAGCGUGGGGAGCAAACAGGAUUAGAUACCCGCGUAGUCCCUGUCUCUUAUAC